RNAcentral lists this long non-coding RNA (385 nucleotides) under Mytilus galloprovincialis (Mediterranean mussel). Lineage: Eukaryota; Metazoa; Mollusca; Bivalvia; Mytilida; Mytilidae. The record is from RNAcentral.
GUAUUAUACAUACUUAAGCUGUGUUAUAUUUAUCUGUACAUGAUUGCAAAAGUUAUACUCUUUGUUAUACAUGUUAUAUGGACAUUUAUUAGUUCGGUGCACAUUUUAUGCAAAAGACUCGUGCUUCUUGUUUCAAAAUUAUUAAUCAAAUAAUUCAGUAAGGUGAUCACUAUUGUAAAGACGCUGUGCUGCCUAAAACAAAAUUUGAUACAAGAAGCACCAACUCACAACAGAUAAACCAUGAUAUUUUACACCAAUUUAUGCAAUUCUACUUUGUAUAUGUUUUUACAUUUAUAAAUUGUAUUAUAUGCAAAAUGUGAAUUAAAUUGCAAUGUCGUAUAUGAUUUUUAAGGAAAGUGUAAAUUUAUAUAUUGAAAAAAUGGGC